GGGAUGGUGGUUCAGUGGCAGAAUUCUUGCAUUCUAUGCGGGAGACCUGGGUUCAAUUCCUUGCCCUCUGU
This 71-nucleotide transfer RNA is filed under the name Loxodonta africana (African savanna elephant). It matches the Rfam family "tRNA". From Rfam's summary of the family: Transfer RNA (tRNA) molecules are approximately 80 nucleotides in length. Their secondary structure includes four short double-helical elements and three loops (D, anti-codon, and T loops). Further hydrogen bonds mediate the characteristic L-shaped molecular structure. tRNAs have two regions of fundamental functional importance: the anti-codon, which is responsible for specific mRNA codon recognition, and the 3' end, to which the tRNAs corresponding amino acid is attached (by aminoacyl-tRNA synthetases). tRNAs cope with the degeneracy of the genetic code in two manners: having more than one tRNA (with a specific anti-codon) for a particular amino acid; and 'wobble' base-pairing, i.e. permitting non-standard base-pairing at the 3rd anti-codon position. Lineage: Eukaryota; Metazoa; Chordata; Mammalia; Proboscidea; Elephantidae. The record is from Rfam by way of RNAcentral.